This 3990-nucleotide long non-coding RNA is filed under the name Olea europaea subsp. europaea. Lineage: Eukaryota; Viridiplantae; Streptophyta; Magnoliopsida; Lamiales; Oleaceae. The record is from RNAcentral.
UUGACAAGCCCCUUCAAGCCUUGCCCUCGAGCAAGCCAAUUUAAGCCUUGCCCCCGAGCAAGCCCCUUCAAGCCUUGUCCUCGAGCAAGCCAAUUUAAGCCUUGCCCCUGGGCAAGCCCCUUCAAGCCUUGCCCUCGAGCAAGCCAAUUUAAGCCUUGCCCUCGAGCAAAGCCAAUAUAAGCCUUACCCUCGAGCAAGCCCCUUCAAGCCUUGUCUUUGACAAGCCAAUUUAAAACUUACCCCAGGCAAGCACUCAAAAAGCCUUGCUCCUGGCAAGCACAUCAAAAAACCUCGCCUCAAGCAAGCACCAAAGCCUUGCCCUACGCAAGCACAAAAGGGCUUGAUCAUAUGCUCAAGUGUAAACCAUUAAAGUAUCGCCCGAGGACGUACGAAGGUCCCACAUUAUUUUGGACAGUCCUCGAGGAUGUCACAUUACAACUUUUUGAAGUUAGUGUGCUCGAGGAUUACAGUCCUCGAGGAUGACACGUUACAACUUUUUGAAGUUAGUGUGCUCGAGGAUUACAGUCCUCGAGGAUGUCACGUUACAACUUUUUGAAGUUAGUGUGCUCGAGGAUUACAGUCCUCGAGGGUGUCACGUUACAACUUUUUGAAGUUAGUGUGCUCGAGGAUUACAGUCCUCGAGGAUGUCACAUUACCAUUUUUUGAAGCUAGCGUGCUCGAGGAUUACAGCCCUCGAGAAUGUCACAAUUCAAAGUCUAGUUGUGCUCGAGGAUUACAGUCCUCGAGAAUGCCUUAAUCUUUAAGACUAGUAGUGUGCUCGAGGAUUACAGUCCUCGAGAAUGUCACUGAAUUUUUAAAAGUUUGGUUGCGCUCGGGACUACGGUCCUCGAGAAUGCCUUAAUCUUUAAGACUAAUUGUUCUCGAGGUUUACAGUCCUCAAGAAUGUCACAUCAUCAUAUUUUUAUUAUUGCUCGAGAAUGUACGUCUCACCUUUUAAUCCCUUAAAUACGCUCGAGUCAGAAUCCUCGAGUAAACACUUCAAUAUCGCGCGAGCAGUAAAGUUUUGAAUUUGAUUGCCCGAUUGUAUGGAGUCCAAGAGGUCGAGAUAAAUAGUUCGAGUAAAGUAACUAAAGUUUAUACAUAAUCCUCGAUCAAUUUACAUUGUCAAAAUUAAAAAGUUACAAAGGAUCGGGGUGGGGAUGUCAUCCAAUGUGGCCAAGAGGAGGGUCGAGGUUGCUGAUGUCGAUCUCAACGUCGUCCUCAGGACCUUCCUCAUCAUCUCCACCCGAUCCUCCUCCAUCUUCCGAACCCGAGAGCUCCAAUGUAUCAGCAAUGGAAGGCACCAUCUUCAGGUCGUCUGGAGUGACGUCGGGCAACUUCUGCCUGAGGAAGGCCCGGGCUUCCUUCAGGGCAUGGAAGUACGCUCCCGACGCAUACUCCCCUUUUAUCCUGUCGCAGUCCUCGGAGGUUUUAAACUCCUCCCAAGCCCUCUCCCUGACAACCUCGAGCUCGCGCCCGAAAUCCUCUGUCUUCUGGAUGAGCUCGAGCCUCGUGCCCUCGACCUCAUCCUUUGCUGCAACCAAGUCAUCCCUGGCCUUCGCAGCCUCCCUCCUUGCGUCAUCACGCUCCUUCAGUAAAACCUCGACCUGGGCCUCGAGGUCUUGAAUCCUGCUGUCCUUGGAGGCCAGAGACGUCUCGACCCCAGCUGCCCUCUUGGACUCCUCGAGCCCUUGCAGAGAGAGUCCUCGAGCUAUACUCAACAUCUGGAAAAAAUGAAGAAAAUGUCAAGUGUUACGCUCGACCAAUAAACUCGAGGUUAAAGUCAAAAGUUCAAAGAUUACCUUCACUGUAAGACCCUUGAGGACCUUCAUCCCAUCCACGAGCUUGACCUCCUCUUUGUAUUUGUUCACAAGCUCAGGAGCGAGGUGGCAAGUCCCAUAGUCCCCAGUGAGAGACGGCUCAUCCUCGAGGUCAACCACUUCAGAAGGAGGCCGAGGAGUGACGACCCGAGGAGUCGGAGAUCUGAGGUUCGGUUGCAGAGGGGUCGAGACUUCUGGAUGUCCUCGAGAAGUUUCGCCAGGCCCCCUCGCACCCUCAGGACCCCCUCGAGGCCUCUUCUUGCUUUUCUUCCUGGAGGGCUGCCCCUGUGGAGGGGCGCCUCCCCUUGUGUUGACAAAGUUCCGGAGAGCACGAGGAUCAAAAGACAUACCUGCAAAUAUUUACAAACAUUUUAGAACGAGCAUAAGGUCAGGGUAUAUUUCAAAAAAUAACAACAAAGGAACAUCCCUACCCUCGACGCCUCUAAUAUCUGCCAGGUCUAAAACCUCUUCCCCAAUCUCCUUCAUCGUCGAGAAAAGGGGGCUGAGCCCGACCAGCAUCCUCCUAUGCUCUUCCAAAACAUCCGGAUACACCUGGCCCUCACAGAACUUCUCGGCGUCGGGGAUUCCCCAAUCAGGCCAGAAAGGAAGAUCGGGUUCUGGGGCUACCACAUAAAACCACCCCACCCUCCACCCCUUUAAAGAGCUCGCCAUCCUCGGGACUUUAAAGCCCCCAGUCGUCGAGAGAUAGCCAAAACACGUGUAUCGAGGAUGCUUCUUAAGCUCGAACACUAACUUGCUGAGGCUAACAUUGGGCUCGAUACCUAAGUAUCUACAUGCUAUAAAAAAGUAGACGAGCAUCCUCCAGGCGUUGGGCACUAAUUGCCCCGGGCACAUGGAGUGCUCGACUAAUAGGGCAACAAAGAAAGGGUGAAGGGGCCACCUAAAGCCAGCCUUAAGGGUCUCCCUAAAAAUAACAAACUCCCCUCGUCGUGCUCGAAUAAUCCUAUCCUCGGGGUCAGGAAAUCUAACAUCACAAUUAGGCAUUAUACCAUAUUCCCUAGCCGCAGCUAUGACUGAGUGCUCUUUAAGCCUACAGGGUUCGUCGGGAUACUCAAAAACCAUAUUGACCUGGGCCUCGGGAGUAGCCUCUAGGGGAAUGGCCGUCGGUAUUAUCGAGGUCCCUACGUCCUCCUCACUACUACUAGAACUGCUAGAAGAUUCUCGACCCUCACUACUCGACAUUACUUAACAAACUUAAAGACCUAGCUUAUGAAUAACUUAAAGUCUCGAGCCUUACCUGGAGUUCCCGACGACUUGAGAAGUUCCCAAAGUAUUUCUCUCGAGCACGACCUCUCAGAGCUCUGAUUUACAGUGGGUAAAAGUGAAAAAUGAAGGUGAGAACAAUAGUAUUUAUAGGUGAAAACGAUGGGAGGCCAAAGGUCGCUAUCUACGACCGUCCACGGAGACACGUGUCACAAAUCCAAGCCACUCUCUGCAACGGUAAUAUCUCGACCUAUAUCAUCAGCCGUCACUUCUCGAUGAAUGUUCGAGAAAUGACAUAACCCAUGUGCACCCCAUCCUAAGAGCCCGAUCUCUAGGACGAGUGCACGGGGGCCAGUGACUAUGCCAAUAUUGAUAUACCCCGAGGAGUGUAUCCCGAGGACUCGAUCUAUACCCCACCUAAAUUCUCUUCUUCGUUCCUCGAGGUCAUCUAAGUCCUCGAGAUAUUGUAGUCCUCGAGGUAUGUCGAGGACCUAUUUACAUUCCCUCAAUGUCCUCAAGAAUAGUCCUCGAGACAUACACCACCAACAUACCUCCUAAGACCUGGGUACCUAACUAACAAACCUAAACACCCAAGGAUUCUACAUCAACCCUAACACCACUUGUCAAAUAAAUCCAUUUCAAGUAGGACAUUCUUUAUAAUAGAAAUUCCCUUGGAUAAAAACAUCCAACCAACACAAUCCUACUAGGAGUACACUACCUACUCCUAUAAAAGCAGAACCUUGGGCCAUUAUUCAGGUACGUUUUCUCAUUGUUCUUCAGCAUAUAGCCUCACGCAUAUAUUUCCCUUUCUGACUUAAGCAUCGGAGGGGCGACGAGAACACACCUCGUUGCCUUUGUUUCAGGUAUCGGAAGAUCACGUUCGUGCUCAUCAUCAGUCAUCAAGCUCGGAAAAUCUACAGGUACGAUUUUUGGUAGCAUCAGGCAC